This 470-nucleotide ribosomal RNA is filed under the name Pantoea sp. MIXSI9. RNAcentral's name for it is "bacterial SSU rRNA". It matches the Rfam family "Bacterial small subunit ribosomal RNA", at positions 30 to 490 of the family's 1533-position model. The record is from RNAcentral. Lineage: Bacteria; Pseudomonadati; Pseudomonadota; Gammaproteobacteria; Enterobacterales; Erwiniaceae.
AUUGAACGCUGGCGGCAGGCCUAACACAUGCAAGUCGAACGGUAGCACAGAGAGCUUGCUCUCGGGUGACGAGUGGCGGACGGGUGAGUAAUGUCUGGGAAACUGCCUGAUGGAGGGGGAUAACUACUGGAAACGGUAGCUAAUACCGCAUAACGUCGCAAGACCAAAGAGGGGGACCUUCGGGCCUCUUGCCAUCAGAUGUGCCCAGAUGGGAUUAGCUAGUAGGUGGGGUAACGGCUCACCUAGGCGACGAUCCCUAGCUGGUCUGAGAGGAUGACCAGCCACACUGGAACUGAGACACGGUCCAGACUCCUACGGGAGGCAGCAGUGGGGAAUAUUGCACAAUGGGCGCAAGCCUGAUGCAGCCAUGCCGCGUGUAUGAAGAAGGCCUUCGGGUUGUAAAGUACUUUCAGCGGGGAGGAAGGUGUUGUGGUUAAUAACCGCAGCAAUUGACGUACCCGCAGAAGAGC